This 78-nucleotide microRNA precursor is filed under the name Daphnia magna. Its description in RNAcentral is "Dma-Mir-92-P3_pre stem-loop". The record is from RNAcentral. Lineage: Eukaryota; Metazoa; Arthropoda; Branchiopoda; Diplostraca; Daphniidae.
AGGCUUUGAUGGGUGUCAAUUUUUCGACUAAUUGCCAAAGAUGAAUGAGGCAGAAAUAUUGCACUCGUCCCGGCCUGU